Molecule: small nuclear RNA, 107 nt
Organism: Delphinapterus leucas (beluga whale)
Lineage: Eukaryota; Metazoa; Chordata; Mammalia; Artiodactyla; Monodontidae
Source: Ensembl
GUGCGCACUUCGGCAGCACGUAUACUAAAACUGAAACGAUACAGACAAGAUUCGCAUGGUCCCUGCACAAGGAUGACAUGCAAAUUCGUGGAGCGUUCCGUAUUUUU